This 68-nucleotide transfer RNA is filed under the name Ictidomys tridecemlineatus (thirteen-lined ground squirrel). RNAcentral's name for it is "Spermophilus tridecemlineatus (thirteen-lined ground squirrel) tRNA". It matches the Rfam family "tRNA". Rfam says of the family: Transfer RNA (tRNA) molecules are approximately 80 nucleotides in length. Their secondary structure includes four short double-helical elements and three loops (D, anti-codon, and T loops). Further hydrogen bonds mediate the characteristic L-shaped molecular structure. tRNAs have two regions of fundamental functional importance: the anti-codon, which is responsible for specific mRNA codon recognition, and the 3' end, to which the tRNAs corresponding amino acid is attached (by aminoacyl-tRNA synthetases). tRNAs cope with the degeneracy of the genetic code in two manners: having more than one tRNA (with a specific anti-codon) for a particular amino acid; and 'wobble' base-pairing, i.e. permitting non-standard base-pairing at the 3rd anti-codon position. The record is from Rfam by way of RNAcentral. Lineage: Eukaryota; Metazoa; Chordata; Mammalia; Rodentia; Sciuridae.
GGGAUUGUGACUCAGGGUAGAGCACUUGCCUAGCAAGUAUGAGGCACUGGGUUCAAUUCUCAGCACCA